GAUGAACGCUGGCGGCGUGCCUAAUACAUGCAAGUCGAGCGAACAGACGAGGAGCUUGCUCCUCUGACGUUAGCGGCGGACGGGUGAGUAACACGUGGAUAACCUACCUAUAAGACUGGGAUAACUUCGGGAAACCGGAGCUAAUACCGGAUAAUAUAUUGAACCGCAUGGUUCAAUAGUGAAAGACGGUUUUGCUGUCACUUAUAGAUUGAUCCGCGCCGCAUUAGCUAGUUGGUAAGGUAACGGCUUACCAAGGCGACGAUGCGUAGCCGACCUGAGAGGGUGAUCGGCCACACUGGAACUGAGACACGGUCCAGACUCCUACGGGAGGCAGCAGUAGGGAAUCUUCGGCAAUGGGCGAAAGCCUGACGGAGCAACGCCGCGUGAGUGAUGAAGGUCUUCGGAUCGUAAAACUCUGUUAUUCGGGAAGAACAACUGUGUAAGUAACUAUGCACGUCUUGACGGUACCGAAUCAGAAAGCCCCGGCUAACUACGUG
This 497-nucleotide ribosomal RNA is filed under the name uncultured bacterium. Its description in RNAcentral is "partial 16S ribosomal RNA". It matches the Rfam family "Bacterial small subunit ribosomal RNA", at positions 28 to 507 of the family's 1533-position model. The record is from RNAcentral.